UAGGGAAUAUUGCACAAUGGAGGAAACUCUGAUGCAGCGACGCCGCGUGAGUGAUGAAGGCCUUCGGGUUGUAAAGCUCUGUCGUACGGGAAUAAGCAAGUGAAUGUACCGUGCAAGAAAGGAUCGGCUAACUUCGUGCCAGCAGCCGCGGUAAGACGAGGGAUCCAAGCGUUGUUCGGAAUUAUUGGGCGUAAAGCGGAUGCAUGUGGCUUUUCAAGUCAGGUGUGAAAUCCCAGGGCUCAACCCUGGAAGUGCAUUUGAUACUGUGAAGCUUGAGUGCUAGAGAGGUAAGUAGAAUACCUGGUGUAGUGGUGAAAUACGUAGAUAUCAGGUGGAAUACCGGAGGCGAAGGCGGCUUACUGGCUAGACACUGACACUCAGAUCCGAAAGCGUGGGGAUCAAACAGG
This 407-nucleotide ribosomal RNA is filed under the name uncultured bacterium. Its description in RNAcentral is "bacterial SSU rRNA". It matches the Rfam family "Bacterial small subunit ribosomal RNA", at positions 355 to 776 of the family's 1533-position model. The record is from RNAcentral.